GUAGGAGCGAGCUUGCUCGCGAAGCGAUUUCCCUGCCGCCUGCUGUGCAAGCCGGGAGAUUUUUCGCGAGCAAGCUCGCUCCUAC
Molecule: unclassified non-coding RNA, 85 nt
Filed under: Pseudomonas chlororaphis
Lineage: Bacteria; Pseudomonadati; Pseudomonadota; Gammaproteobacteria; Pseudomonadales; Pseudomonadaceae
Source: RNAcentral